This 633-nucleotide ribosomal RNA is filed under the name uncultured Bacteroidota bacterium. RNAcentral's name for it is "bacterial SSU rRNA". It matches the Rfam family "Bacterial small subunit ribosomal RNA", at positions 358 to 989 of the family's 1533-position model. The record is from RNAcentral. Lineage: Bacteria; Pseudomonadati; Bacteroidota.
GGAAUAUUGGUCAAUGGAGGCAACUCUGAACCAGCUACGCCGCGUGCAGGAUGAAAGCCAUAGAGGUUGUAAACUGCUUUUGUAUGGGAAUAAAAAAUUCUACGUGUAGAAAUAAUUGAAGGUACCAUACGAAUAAGUGUCGGCUAACUCCGUGCCAGCAGCCGCGGUAAUACGGAGGACACAAGCGUUAUCCGGAUUCACUGGGUUUAAAGGGUGCGUAGGCGGUUUUUUAAGUCAUUAGUAAAAUAUUUCAGCUUAACUGAAAAAAAGCUAAUGAAACUGAUAAACUAGAAUGAUAUUGGAGCAAUUGGAAUGUAUGGUGUAGCGGUGAAAUGCAUAGAUAUCAUACAGAACACCGAAAGCGAAGGCAGAUUGUUAAAUAUAUAUUGACGCUGAGGCACGAAAGCGUGGGUAGCAAACAGGAUUAGAUACCCUGGUAGUCCACGCUGUAAACGUUGAUCACUGGUUAUUGUAAAAAAAGAUUCAGUAGCUAAGCGAAAGUAAUAAGUGAUCCACCUGGGUAGUACGAUCGCAAGAUUGAAACUCAAAGGAAUUGACGGGGGCCCGCACAAGCGGUGGAGCAUGUGGUUUAAUUCGAUGAUACGCGAGGAACCUUACCAAGGCUUAAAUGUC